ACAUAUAUUCAAUUAAACAACCUUGAUUAGCAUUCAUUAUAACCAAAUUUAACAAAACAUUAUCAGAACUAAUCCUGCAAAAACACUUUACUCUUUCAGCUAAACUAUGGCUAUCUGUUGCUUGCCCCCUAGCUGCUCGGACAUGAACAUAUGGAAGCUUCUCUGAGGUAUCAUUUGCUGAUUUUUUGCUCUUUUUGCUACUGCUUUCUUUCCCCUGAAUUCCACAUAAUUCAUUCAUCAAAACACAGACUUCGUAUAUAUCAAAUCAUAAUUCAUUUAGAAUUUAAACUUGAACACUACCAUUCUUUGUGAUAAACCAAUAAUGUAUCAUAAUGAAGUAGUUAUAUAGAGGUGAAAUUACAUGCUAACUUAGGCGUUUGGACAUAAGAAUUGUGAAAUUCUGGAAACAAGUGGGAAAAAAAAAUCAAGUGAAACUAGUAUUUGAAAAUUAGAGUUGUGUCUGGACAUCAAUAUUAUUUAGAGCUGUUUUUGAGUUUUUGAGUGAUUUGAAGUGAAUUUUGAAAAAUAAUUUUUUGGAGUUUUUCAAAUUUCCAAAAAAAUUUGGAAUAGUUUUUCAAUUUGAAUUUCUUUUGCCCAAACAAAAAAAGUGAAAAAAAUUGUAUGGCCAAACGGGCCCUAAAUUAAUUAUAAUGAAGUGAUACAAGUUCCUAUAUUAAAAAAAUAAAAAAAAUAAAAAAAAUAAAAAAACACGUCACAUAUAAUUUACCUUUUUCUGGCGUUCUUUUCGCUUUGUGGUUUUCUGAUCAAAAGUUGGAUUUGAAAAUUCGGGAGAAGAAUUAGGAUUGGAAUCAGAAUCAUCUGGUUCUUGCUUUACGAAUUGUGGAUUGGACGGAAAUGAGCCAUUCUCCGGCGAAUUCCCGGCGGCGAAGACUGAGAACUCUCGGGCGAAUUCUCCGGCGGACGCUCUGUCAAUCAGAGGAGAAGAGUAGUAGGUCUUGUUGUGAGUAUCUGGUAGGGAAAGUUUAGCUGAACCCAUUUCGUCAGAAUGUACUAAAAGGUCCAAAGCUUGAUUUGGUGGCAGUUCAAGUAAAGCAGUAAAAGAAUUUCCAGCAGCUUCCAUUGGUACUGGCAUUAUUAUGCUCUGGCUAAUUUGAUGAAACCCAGUUGCCGUUUCUCCUGCUUUGCCUCCGCAACUUGCGGAUCUAACUUGGGUUGACUCCAUUUUACAGCUUUUUGCGGCAAAUUUUCAAAAUAAGUAUGCACCAAU
RNAcentral lists this long non-coding RNA (1228 nucleotides) under Nicotiana tabacum (common tobacco). RNAcentral's name for it is "long non-coding RNA (NTAB_LNC003173)". Lineage: Eukaryota; Viridiplantae; Streptophyta; Magnoliopsida; Solanales; Solanaceae. The record is from RNAcentral.